UUUACUUGGUUUUGAGAAACUUGUAUUGCUGUUGUUUUUUGGACAGCGUGUGGUGGAGUAAAGUUCUCAGAGACCCUAGCCCCUACCCCUGCCAGGGCCUGCUUUUUCCUGGACUGGUGUCCUGAUUUCAUCCUCUCCCCAACUUUUACUGUCUCAGGCCUGCGGCUGGGACGGACAUUCUUGCUGCUCUGGCCAGUGAGCCCUGCAGGUCAGAUGGGACUCCUGGCCAACCUGGCGCCACGUGUCUCUGGAGAUGCCCACGAAGGCUUCUUCCAGACUGGCAUCUUCAUCUUGACACUGAAGAUCUUCAUUUAAUCUAUUGACUUUCAUAUUUGCUCCCAUGCCAAAAAGGAGUCAUGGUGUUUCCAAAUGUUUUUAUGCAGCUUCUAAUACUGCUAAGCUUUGGGGAUUUUAUUCCUCAUUCUCUUCUCCCCGAAGGCAUAAGCUCCACCUAUAUCUUGUUUGGGCUUUCGGUGGAGACAGCCCCUAACUUCCUGUUUCUGUCCCUGUGCAGCCUUUCCCAUCUUUCUCUUUUGCCCCUCCUCCCCGUGACUCAGCUGUUACAAGGGCACGUUGGGUUCCACCACGCUGAUCAUUGCUGUUUCCCUCCAGCAGCCUGGGGCUCGCCUGGGGCGCUUGGGGGCUUCAGGGCCUCAGCCGUGGGGACAUCGCUGCAGGCGGACACUUACUGCAGGCGAGAACGAAGGAGCUGGCUGUUUUGCCAAACCUGCAGUCCCCUCGGAGUUCUCUGCGAAGCCCUCCAGAGGCGGCAAAGACAGGUGGUCUUCCCCGAGGAAGCAUAUAUCCCGGGGGGAUAAGAGAAUUCGCAAGGAUGCUAACCGAAGAAAGGUGGGGUGAGGGAGGAACCAGUAACCUGUUUUCUCGCCUCGAUGCUCCUUCUCACAUGCACUCGUAGUACACAACGGCAGGGAGCAGAAAGGACAGGGAAAAACGCACCGUUGUCUUCCUUGCCCAACUACUCAUUUCAGCCAUCUCUCCAAUCCUGCUUCUGGGCCCGCCUUCCCCAGGCACCUCCUUCUCGCCGUGGGUGACGGGUGACGGGUGAGGGGACUCCUGGCGGCUCUCCCUCCCCCAGGCACACGGGGGCAGGUGCAGUGGAUUCUGCACCGCUCUGGCGUCUUCCCUCACUUUCCUGCUGCGCUGCUCUGGUGUCCCUCUCCCAGCUCCUAGUGUCCCGUGCUCCUGUCUGUCCCGUCCCGGACCCUUUAAAUCUGACAGCUCAGCCCCCACACCACACCCUGGGCUCUGUCCUCCAACUUGACCCACCCCACCCUCUUUUGGUGUCCUAGACGUGCUGCCUUCUUGCACUUGCGACCUUUAUUUGGGCCUCUGGUCCCGCUGUGGUUUCUGGUGUGGCUGGAGCGCCCCUCCGGCACGGCGUUGUCAUAGCGACAGGCAUCCCUUUGUAUUGAUGUGGCUUUUCCUCAAGCAAGAAGGGUUUGAUGGAGAGAAUGGCUGAAGGGACAGGUUCUGGAAGGGCACUGUGGAGGCCAAACCCUCUCUCACACCCCUGCUAAGAAGCCCACAGGAGCCUGCGGAAGACCUAAGAUCUGAGCCAUAUUUGUGAAACAAAAACACUGGCUGCAAAACAGGGCAGAAGACGUGCGUGCAAAUGCUCAGAAAAGGCGCUGGAAGAACAUCUGCCAAACCGAUCAUGCUUCCCGCUACCGCCCUUUCUAACAAGUUACUUUGGUGUGAACUUAUUUUUUUACUGUGGACAAUACUUAUGAGAUACUAUACACACCACAACGGCAGGACCUGCCUUCUGGGUUCUCACCAGAGCACGGUGGAACCACUUCACAGCGUUGGAAGUGAGGGUAGAAACAACACUCCCCUCCAGAAUCGACCUUGUUAUGGAGGAACAGCAUGGCUGCUGUGUUUACAGAAAGCCGUUCUGACGGGAGUGUUGGGUGCGGUGCAGGUGAGCUGUGUGACUGUGGAGCCCUGGUCUUAGAGCACUGAGUCUUACUGACCGCUCCCUCCGCCAUCGUGGAAUACGUUUUGGCGCUGGAGACUGAAACCUGUUCAAACAAAAUGACUUCCUCAGUUUGGGCAUUUUCCAUUCUUGCUAAAUGGAAGAAAAACCUUUUCCUUAUAUGGCUGAGAAAGCCUAGCAAAAUACGUCUUGAAGAUCCAGAACUGAGUCACGGCCCAAGUCACUCAGGGAAGUCCUAUACUUUGCACAAGGUACACACGGCAGUGCUGCCCGCGGCGGCCUUUCGCCUCUUCUAACUUGACUUUUCAGGGUCUUGGCAUCUGAGCACUGGUAUUCACUGCCCUUGGAUGCCUGGAGCUCCUCAAGAGGCCAUUGUCUCCCUGUGGGGCAUCUGCUGGACAUUCCUGGAGACACGGCC
Molecule: non-coding RNA, 2375 nt
Organism: Microcebus murinus (gray mouse lemur)
Lineage: Eukaryota; Metazoa; Chordata; Mammalia; Primates; Cheirogaleidae
Source: RefSeq, a predicted model, not a curated record